Molecule: ribosomal RNA, 147 nt
Filed under: Triticum aestivum (bread wheat)
Lineage: Eukaryota; Viridiplantae; Streptophyta; Magnoliopsida; Poales; Poaceae
Description: partial small subunit ribosomal RNA
Source: RNAcentral
ACAAAUUGUGACCCGGAUCUCGCGAAUAUAUCGAUUCCAGCCAACGAUGACACUAUGACUUCAAUUCGAUUGAUUCUUAACAAAUUAGUAUUUUCAAUUUGUGAGGGCCGUUCUCUCUAUAUAAGAAAUCUUCGGGUCAGGCGCUGA